GGCAGACGGGUGAGUAACAUGUAGGUAUCUGCCCUUUGGCCUGGAAUAACACGAGGAAACUUGUGCUAAUACUGGAUAAGUCUUUACGGAGAAAGCUUUAUGCACCAUUGGAUGAGCCUGCACUUGAUUAGUUUGUUGGUAGGGUAAUGGCCUACCAAGACUGUGAUCAAUAGCUGAUUUGAGAGGAUGAUCAGCCACAUUGGGACUGAGACACGGCCCAAACUCCUACGGGAGGCGGCAGUGGGGAAUCUUGCACAAUGGAGGAAACUCUGAUGCAGCGAUGCCGCGUGAGUGAAGAAGGCCCUUGGGUUGUAAAGCUCUUUCGUCGGGGAAGAAAAUGACUGUACCCGAAUAAGAAGGUCCGGCUAACUUCGUGCCAGCAGCCGCGGUAAUACGAAGGGACCUAGCGUAGUUCGGAAUUACUGGGCUUAAAGAGUUCGUAGGUGGUUGAAAAAGUUGGUGGUGAAAUCCCAGAGCUUAACUCUGGAACUGCCAUCAAAACUUUUCAGCUAGAGUUUGAUAGAGGAAAGCAGAAUUUCUAGUGUAGAGGUGAAAUUCGUAGAUAUUAGAAAGAAUACCAAUUGCGAAGGCAGCUUUCUGGAUCAUUACUGACACUGAGGAACGAAAGCAUGGGUAGCGAAGAGGAUUAGAUACCCUCGUAGUCCAUGCCGUAAACGAUGUGUGUUAGACGUUGGAAAUUUAUUUUCAGUGUCGCAGCGAAAGCGAUAAACACAC
RNAcentral lists this ribosomal RNA (735 nucleotides) under uncultured marine bacterium. RNAcentral's name for it is "bacterial SSU rRNA". It matches the Rfam family "Bacterial small subunit ribosomal RNA", at positions 97 to 869 of the family's 1533-position model. The record is from RNAcentral.